ACAUGACCAAAAUGGUCAGUUGACCCCUUUAGGAGUUAUUGCCCUUUAUAGUCAAUCUUUAACCAUUUUUCAUAAAUCUAAGUAAUCUUUUACAAAAUCUCCACUGAAACUACUAGGCCACAAUCAUCUUUGGGGUAUCUAGUUUGAAAAAUGUGUCCGAUGACCUGGCCAUUCAACCAAGAUGGCUGCCACGGCUAAAAAUAGAACAUAGGGGUAAAAUGCAGUUUUUGGCUUAUAACUAUGAAACCAAAGCAUCUAGAGCAAAUCUGACAAGAAGUUAAAUUGUUCAUCAAGUCAAUAUCUAUCUGCCCUGAAUUUUUCAGAUGAAUUGGACAACUGGUUGUUGGGUUGCUGCCCUCCAAUUGGUAAUUUUUAAAGAAAUUUUGCCGUUUU
RNAcentral lists this long non-coding RNA (393 nucleotides) under Mytilus galloprovincialis (Mediterranean mussel). The record is from RNAcentral. Lineage: Eukaryota; Metazoa; Mollusca; Bivalvia; Mytilida; Mytilidae.